CCUACGGGUGGCAGCAGUGAGGAAUAUUGGUCAAUGGACGAGAGGCUGAACCAGCCAAGGAGCGUGAAGGAUGACUGCCCUAUGGGUUGUAAACUUCGUUUAUAAAGGAAUAAAACGAGGCACGUGUGCCUUUUUGCAUGUACUUUAUGAAUAAGGAUCGGCUAACUCCGUGCCAGCAGCCGCGGUAAUACGGAGGAGCCGAGCGUUACCCGGAUUUAUUGGGUUUAAAGGGAGCGUAGAUGGGUUUUUAAGUCAGUUGUGAAAGUUUGCGGCUCAACCGUAAAAUUGCAAUUGAUACUGGCAGUCUUGAGUACAGUUGAGGUAGGCGGAAUUCGUGGUGUAGCGGUGAAAUGCUUAGAUAGCACGAAGAACCCCGAUUGCGAAGGCAGCUUACUAAACUGUGACUGACAUUGAUGCUCGAAAGUGUGGGUAUCAAACAGGAUUAGAUACCCCUGUAGUC
This 460-nucleotide ribosomal RNA is filed under the name uncultured bacterium. RNAcentral describes it as "partial 16S ribosomal RNA". It matches the Rfam family "Bacterial small subunit ribosomal RNA", at positions 338 to 795 of the family's 1533-position model. The record is from RNAcentral.